Chenopodium quinoa (quinoa) is the source of this 4230-nucleotide RNA transcript. It is a transcript of the gene named DExH-box ATP-dependent RNA helicase DExH15 chloroplastic-like, with no coding region annotated. The transcript has 18 exons. The record is from RefSeq and is a predicted model, not a curated record. Lineage: Eukaryota; Viridiplantae; Streptophyta; Magnoliopsida; Caryophyllales; Amaranthaceae.
AAUGAGAUUGAAUUUGAGCGGCGUGUUAGAAAACAGAAACACAGGAAGAGAGCUUAAGCAACAGCUCUCGCGCCAUGAACAUACUCCUCCAAAUUCCUUCUUCCUUCUCUCCACUUUCUCUCUCCUCCUUCACUCUUCUCUCUCCUUCUCUCAUCCAUUUCCCCAAAUUAGGGUUUCAUUCCCCCAAAUUACCUCCCAAUUUCCGAUUUCGCCCCCUUUUCACAUCCCCAAAUUCUCUAUCCUCCGUCGAAAAUCAAAUUUCCGACGCCGAAGAAGAUGAUUUCUACGACGAAGACGAUGAAGCUGCCGAUGAAUACGACGUCGAUUCUGUUGCCGCCGAUGUUGCGGAAGUUUCCGGUGAGCUGGAGGAAGACGACGAAGUUGACAGUCUUGAGACUCAAGACGAGGAGUUAAACGCGUCGUUUUGGAGUAGCAAUGAUUCUAAGUUGCAGAGAGUUCAGAAGUUGUGUGAUGAAGUCAGAGAGUUUGGUGCUGAUAUUAUUGACGCCGAUGAACUCGCUUCUAUCUAUGAUUUUCGUAUUGAUAAAUUUCAGAGACUGGCGAUCAAAGCAUUUUUGAGAGGUUCGUCAGUUGUGGUCUCGGCACCAACAAGUAGUGGCAAGACGUUGAUAGCCGAGGUGGCGGCGGUGGCGACAGUAGCAAAAGGAAAGCGGUUGUUAUAUACUACUCCGCUUAAAGCAUUGUCAAAUCAAAAAUUUCGGGAGUUCAGGGAUGCAUUUGGAGAGAGUAAUGUUGGCCUUUUGACAGGAGAUUCUGCUAUUAACAAAGAUGCUAAAGUUUUGAUUAUGACAACGGAAAUUUUGCGAAAUAUGCUGUAUCAAAGUGUUGGAGUGGUUUCUUCUGGGAGUGGGCUUUUUGAUGUUGAUGUAAUUGUUUUGGAUGAAGUACAUUAUCUAAGUGAUACGUCUCGUGGUACUGUUUGGGAGGAGACAGUCAUCUAUUGCCCAAAAGAAGUUCAGCUUAUUUGUCUGUCAGCAACCGUUGCAAAUCCAGAUGAGCUAGCUGGUUGGAUUGGACAGAUUCAUGGAAAAACAGAAUUAGUAACAUCAUCAAAACGUCCUGUACCAUUGACGUGGCUUUUUUCUACGAAGACCUCUUUACUUCCUCUUCUUGAUGAGAAAGGAACCAGUAUGAACAGGAAAGUUUCAGUCAGCUAUCUACGUCUCUAUGCUUCAGGAGAGAGUUCUCACAAUGAUGAGGGAUCUAGACGUAAGAAUUCCAGAAGACGUAAAGAUGACAGUGAUUUGAUAUAUGAGGAGUAUGGUAGAUCGUCUAGACAAUCUUCUCUGUCAAAAAAUGACAUAAACAUGAUACGACGUUCACUUGUUCCUAAAGUUGAAGAUACAUUGGAACAUCUUAAAGGAAGAGAUAUGCUGCCUGCAAUAUGGUUUAUUUUUAGCCGAAAAGGGUGCGAUGCUGCUGUUCAAUACCUUGAAGGUUCCAAGCUUCUGGACGAGUGUGAGAAGGUUGAAGUGGAACUGGCCCUGAAGCGGUUCCGUAUUCAGUAUCCUGAUGCUGUCAGAGAACCUGCUGUAAAGGGCCUGCGUCGAGGUGUUGCUGCGCAUCAUGCUGGUUGUCUUCCCCUGUGGAAAUCAUUCAUAGAGGAGCUUUUUCAGCGGGGCCUCAUUAAGGUAGUUUUUGCCACGGAAACUCUUGCUGCAGGGAUUAAUAUGCCUGCAAGGACAGCUGUUAUUGCUUCUCUCAGCAAAAGGAGUGAAGCUGGACGUAUCCAGCUAAGGUCCAAUGAGUUGCUUCAGAUGGCAGGCCGUGCUGGACGUCGAGGUAUAGAUGAAAAGGGUCAUGUAGUACUUGUUCAGGGUCCCUUUGAAGGUGCUGAAGAAUGCUGUGAGCUUCUAUUUUCUAGUGUGGAGCCUCUUGUUUCACAGUUUACAGCUUCAUAUGGAAUGGUUUUGAACCUUCUUGGGGGCGCAAAAGUUACCCGGCGAUCAAAUGAAGUGGAUGGCAUCAAGGUUUCUCAAGUCGGACGAACUUUGGAAGAGGCAAGGAAGUUAGUUGAGCAAAGUUUUGGAAAUUACCUCGGGAGUAAUGUAAUGCUUACUUCAAAAGAGGAGCUUGGAAGAAUUCAGAAAGAAAUAGAGCUAUUAACUGCAGAAGUCAGUGAUGAUGCGUUUGAUAUGAAAAUCAGGAAGUUGUUGUCUGAAUCAGCGUACCAAGAGAUUACUGGUUUGCAGGAAGAAUUAAGGGUAGAAAAACAACUCCGAGUUGAAUUUCGACGAAGGAUGGAAUUGGAGAGGAUGUCUUCUUUUAAACCUUUAUUGAAGGAGUUGGGAGAUGGAAACUUACCUUUUCUGUGUCUAGGAUACAAGGAUACCGAUGGUAUUGAGCACUCAAUUGUUGCAGUAUACUUGGCAGAGGUUCAGUCACUUGACGGGUCAAAAAUAAAGAACCUUGUACAGAAUGAUGUUUCUUUUAAGCUGAACAUGGUGGAAGCAGAGACAAGUAGUGAUGCUUCUGGAAGGCUGCCAUGUUUUGAGCCAUCUUAUCAUGUGGCUCUUGGUUCAGAUAAUUCUUGGUAUCUUUUCACUGAAAAGUGGAUCAAAGCAGUAUACAGAACAGGUUUUCCAAACAUGGCUUUGAAUGAAGGUGAUGCUUUACCAAGAGAUAUUUUGACCACGCUUCUUGAUAAGGAAGGAAUGGAAUGGGCAAGGUUUGUUGAUUCUGAAUUGGGAAAUUUAUGGCAUAUGGAAGGAUCCCUGGAGACGUGGUCUUGGAGUUUAAAUGUUCCUAUGUUGAGUAGCCUGUCUGAAGAAGAUAAGGCAUCACACAUGUCACCAGCACAACUUGAGGUGGUAGAAUGCUAUAGAAAACAAAGAAAUAAAGUUUCGCACUUGAAGAAAAAGAUUACCCGUGCAGAAGGCUUUAGAGAAUACAAGAAGAUUUUGGAUAUGGCAAAGUUAACUGUGGGAAAGAUUAGGCGCCUGAAGACCAGAGAGAAACGCUUGAUUGAUCGAAUUGAGAGAAUUGAACCCUCGGGAUGGAAAGAGUUUUUGCAGAUUAGCAAUGUGAUUCAUGAAACAAGAGCAUUAGAUAUCAAUACAAAUGUGAUAUUUCCUCUAGGAGAAACUGCAUCUGCGAUGCGAGGAGAAAAUGAACUUUGGCUUGCAAUGGUUCUUCGAGACAGAGUACUGUUGGACCUACAGCCAGCACAACUAGCUGCUGUCUGUGGGAGCCUAGUUUGUGAAGGGAUAAAAGUCCGACCAUGGAAGAAUAACAGCUAUAUAUACGAGCCUUCUUCCACUGUGAUUAACGUUAUAAACCAUUUGGAGGAACCCAGGAAUUAUCUAUUGCAGCUUCAAGACAAACAUGAUGUACAGAUAUCUUGCUGCUUGGAUAGCCAAUUUUCUGGUAUGGUAGAAGCAUGGGCCUCUGGUCUAACUUGGCGGGAAAUCAUGAUGGAUUGUGCAAUGGAUGAGGGUGAUCUGGCUAGACUCUUACGACGGACAAUUGAUUUAUUAGCACAAAUUCCCAAGUUGCCUGAUGUUGACCCAAUCUUACAGAGCAAUGCAAAGAUAGCAUCUGGUGUUAUGGACCGUUCACCAAUUAGUGAGCUAUCUGGAUAAUUUCUUUUUUUAAACGGUGAAUUCAGGAGCACGAAAGCAUGGUUCUCCCGAGAACACAAUUUAAUAGUUGGGUUAAAUGGGUUUAAACCUAAGGGGGUAGUACUCGGUUUGACUCAUAUAUUCCUCUGAUAGUACUUUUUAUGACUGCUAAAGAGGGGACCUGCAAGGUGUAUUUGCUUCAGCAGUUUAAAAAAUUAGAAAAGAAGUAUGAUUUGUAUGCAUGAAUAGGCACAUCUGCUAUAGGCAAUCUUUGAAGCAAGGUAUAUCUUUGAUUCAGUGUAUAUUUCAUUUUUUAAUUAACAUACUUGAAUUCAUGUACGCCUCAAGCUAGAAGGUCUUAUAGGAGUACGCAGCAUAGAUUUUGAACACUUUUAGUCAAAUACUUGUAGCUUUGCUGUAAAUAUACUAGUGCAGUAGUGUUUCGAGUUGCUUCUCUUUAUUUUGAUGUAUAGUACAUUAUUAUCAGUGUCAUUGUGUCAAGGUUUAGAUAUGCAGGCUUUGUUGAAACUUUUGUGUAUGGUCCAAAUGUAGAAUCUCUUGUAAGGAAUGAUGUAUCAGCUCCUGUAAAUUUGAUUGUUUAAGCUAAUGAUAAGAUUCUAUAGCAAGAUGAAGAAUCAUUCUUUUUCCC